UACGGAGGGUGCGAGCGUUAAUCGGAAUCACUGGGCGUAAAGCGCGCGUAGGCGGCUUUUCAAGUCAGGGGUGAAAUCCCACGGCCCAACCGUGGAACUGCCUUUGGAACUGUAGAGCUUGAGUGUCGGAGAGGGUGGCGGAAUUCCAGGUGUAGGAGUGAAAUCCGUAGAUAUCUGGAGGAACACCGGUGGCGAAGGCGGCCACCUGGACGACAACUGACGCUGAGGUGCGAAAGCGUGGGUAGCAAACAGG
RNAcentral lists this ribosomal RNA (253 nucleotides) under uncultured bacterium. Its description in RNAcentral is "partial 16S ribosomal RNA". It matches the Rfam family "Bacterial small subunit ribosomal RNA", at positions 524 to 776 of the family's 1533-position model. The record is from RNAcentral.